UACGUAGGGUGCAAGCGUUAAUCGGAAUUACUGGGCGUAAAGCGUGCGCAGGCGGUUCUAUAAGACAGAUGUGAAAUCCCCGGGCUCAACCUGGGAACUGCAUUUGUGACUGUAGAGCUGGAGUACGGUAGAGGGGGAUGGAAUUCCGCGUGUAGCAGUGAAAUGCGUAGAUAUGCGGAGGAACACCGAUGGCGAAGGCAAUCCCCUGGACCUGUACUGACGCUCAUGCACG
Molecule: ribosomal RNA, 232 nt
Filed under: uncultured bacterium
Lineage: Bacteria
Description: partial 16S ribosomal RNA
Rfam family: Bacterial small subunit ribosomal RNA
Source: RNAcentral